CAACCCUCAAGCAUUGCUUGGUAUUGGACUUCGCUGCUCACGUAGCGGGCCUUAAAAUCAGUGGCGGUGCCGUCGGGCUCCUGAGCGCAGUAAAUAUCCUCGCUACAGGGACUCGGUGGACGCUAGCCAUCAACCCCCCACUCUCUCA
This 148-nucleotide unclassified non-coding RNA is filed under the name uncultured Hyaloscyphaceae. RNAcentral describes it as "sequence contains ITS2". Lineage: Eukaryota; Fungi; Ascomycota; Leotiomycetes; Helotiales. The record is from RNAcentral.